ACAGCCUCGGGAUUGGUCUGACCGCAAAGUGAAAAAGAUACGUGUGCAGUGUGCACGGGUGCCGAGUGUCAGCCGUGGCACGAGAAGCCCGAAGGUUGUCAGUCGCGUAGUCGCGAUUCCGCGGCCGAAAAUCCAUCCCCAGUUGAGAUAAUAAUCCCGGAACGGAUUUCACACCGUAUCGGUGAAAAAUUAGUGCGUGGUGGGUGCAGAGUUCGGAGUUUCGCAACGUAAGGUUACAAUUCCGUCGAUAUUAUGUCAGCAGCCUCGGUGCUGCUCGUAGCGAACUGCUGUUAGGAUCCAGGAGAGUUAAAAUUCGCCGACUGGGUUACGACAGAGGUUUUUAAACUCUACCGGUGAUCGUCGAACGUCGAACAUACAUAUUAAUAAAUUGGGGAGUGAGUGUUGGUGUACCUAAAAAUAACUACCCGCAUCUAUUACGAAGCGCCGCAUCGACUUAAAUAAACAUUAAAAGCAAAGCAAGAUCAAGGAGAACGAGACGCAGA
Molecule: long non-coding RNA, 503 nt
Organism: Neodiprion fabricii
Lineage: Eukaryota; Metazoa; Arthropoda; Insecta; Hymenoptera; Diprionidae
Exons: 2
Source: RefSeq, a predicted model, not a curated record